AUGUAACUAGGAAUGCAACCUCAGGUGCCCUCAACUUUCUUCUUAUAAUCAAGGAUGAUGAGUUUAUUGCAUAUGAACCCACAAGGCGAGCUUUGCCACUUGGAAAUUUCUGUUAUAUGCUUCACUCGCUGAUGUCUUUUGGACUAGAGGUCUAUUGGCCACAUGGAUGCUUUUGCUCAAUGCCUCAUUCGCAGAUGGUUUUAGAGCCUAAGGUCUAUUUGCUGCCUGAGCACUACUUCUGUCCAUUGAGACACUUGAUG
This 260-nucleotide long non-coding RNA is filed under the name Vitis vinifera (wine grape). Its description in RNAcentral is "long non-coding RNA (VVIN_LNC007008)". The record is from RNAcentral. Lineage: Eukaryota; Viridiplantae; Streptophyta; Magnoliopsida; Vitales; Vitaceae.